Long non-coding RNA from Cylas formicarius (sweet potato weevil), 1015 nucleotides. RefSeq lists it as uncharacterized. NCBI's taxonomy places the organism in Eukaryota, Metazoa, Arthropoda, Insecta, Coleoptera, Brentidae. The record is from RefSeq and is a predicted model, not a curated record. The transcript is spliced from 3 exons.
AAAAGGUACUUCAUUUUUGGUAAAAGUAAUAGAUAAUUUUUUUUUUCGCUAAAUAUUCCACAGAUCGAUGUAACUCGUCAAGCAGAAUCCGAGAAGAAAAGUGACCGGGGGUGCUGUUUGCUUACAAUCCGACCCUGCUUCGUGUACAAAUGCAAUGCCAUUUCGGCAGGGCUAUAGGCUACGAAACCUUUCGAACUCGAAAAGGCGCUACUAAUUUUGAAUAGGUACUUAAUAUUGGGUAAAAGUAAUAGAUAAGAUUGUUUUACAUUAAAUAUUUGACAGAUCGAUGUAACUCGUCAAGCGGAAUCCGAGAAGAAAAAUGACGGAUGUGCUGUUUGCUGAUAGUCCAGAACGGCUUCGUGUACAAAUGCAUGGCGGGGAGACCAGAAAGUUUUCGAAACUGCGUGAGUGGAAGUCUGCGUUGGACAAAUUUUGAAAAUAUCUGAAGGUUUAACGAAUUUUGGAGAAUUCGACAGAGCUACAGACUACGAAACCUUUCGAAACGAACACACGUGUCCUGUUGAACUUGAAAAAAGACGAAAUUAUUUUUAAAAAGAUCAUGGUAACUCGUGAAGCAACAUCUCAGAAUUGAAUCGGGGAACGAGGAAUCAAAAAAAGGUUAACAAUUUGGAUCAUUUUGGAAGAUACAUACGCCGCGCUUUUCAAAGCGGACAGACGUGCCCUUGUCCAACUGAAACGAACACACGUGUCCUGUUGAACUUGAAAAAAGACGAAAUUAUUUUAAAAAGGUAUAUUGUUGCUAAAUAAUAGAUUUUUUUUUAAUUAAAAUAUUUGACAGAUCAUGGUAACUCGUGAAGCAACAUCUCAGAAUUGAAUCGGGGAGUUGUGUAUUUGCUGGCAAUCCGGGCCUGCUUGGAUCAUUUUGGAAGAUACAUACGCCUGCGCUUUUCAAAGCGGACAGACGUGCCCGUGUCCCACUUGACAAAGGCGGAAUUAUUUUAGGAAAGACCAUGGCAACUAGUAAAGCAGAAUCCGAGAAUUCAAUCGGCGGCUG